Long non-coding RNA from Dermacentor andersoni, 566 nucleotides. RefSeq lists it as uncharacterized. The record is from RefSeq and is a predicted model, not a curated record. Lineage: Eukaryota; Metazoa; Arthropoda; Arachnida; Ixodida; Ixodidae.
GAAGCCCAGUCAGGCCCUGCCGCCGGGCUUGCUACGUCGUUACUUUGUGGGAGGCGCCCGAGGAUUGUUGCUGGGUCCUUCUGCCAGCGUCUGACAGAAAUGCUUCGUCGCCGUUUCAUGCAACGAGUGGUGAUGCCAGCGGUAACAGUGGCGCGGCAGCGUCCGAGGUGCGAGGCAACCUUUUACGUCUAGUGGAACCCAUCGGUCAUCGAUUCUUCUAGUCAUCGAUUCUUCCUCAAGACAUAGAAAAUGCGGCCAGACGGUCAUCCGAGAAACGUCCCUAGGACGUGAUUGACACAUCCAUAGGAUAUCCAUAUCCUGGUAGUGGAUGUCCACAAAAUAUACAUAGAACCUGAUUGCUGUCACUGGCAGGUGAGUUUAGAUGCAGGCCCGGACAUUAACUGACCUGCAACUUUUCGUGGGCCAUGCUAGAUUCGAUGUAAGCCCAGGCAUGGGCCAACCUUCUGAAUGCCAGUGGCCGUGGUAGGCUUCAAGUCGGCCAACUUGGUAUCAGUGACUGGCCCUAGCUUGGUACCCCAAUAAUUGGCCGAUUUAAGACCGAUGUC